This is a non-coding RNA of Pelobates cultripes (western spadefoot toad), 349 nucleotides long. The record is from the annotation of a GenBank genome assembly. Lineage: Eukaryota; Metazoa; Chordata; Amphibia; Anura; Pelobatidae.
ACAAUAUACUGUGGUAACCCUAAGUAGAUAAGGAUGUUUAGACUUUAAGAUGCCAUCUUGAACUAAGUCAGGAAAAUUUCCAUGACGUAUGCACCCUUUAGUUAUGGCCUUGUAUGUUUGCCAAAUUAAGGGAGGUCUUAAAAUGAAUAAAGUAAAAGAAGUGUUACUUUUUCAUAUAUGAACUACGGUAACCCUAAAAUGGAGACACCUAAGGUAUAAAUAGGUGCACUUUUAAAUGUUAAGAAACAGAGGGGAGACUUGGAGACAGACGCUGCUCCAAAUUUAAAUGACAGAGAGGCUAACAUGAUGACAUGUUCAAAAGGGUAUGUUAACCUAUUAAUGAUAUUUG